Molecule: ribosomal RNA, 488 nt
Filed under: uncultured bacterium
Lineage: Bacteria
Description: bacterial SSU rRNA
Rfam family: Bacterial small subunit ribosomal RNA
Source: RNAcentral
AUUGAACGCUGGCGGCAUGCCUAACACAUGCAAGUCGAACGGAAACGAUGGGAGCUUGCUCCCAGGCGUCGAGUGGCGGACGGGUGAGUAAUACUUAGGAAUCUGCCCAGUAGUGGGGGACAACUCGGGGAAACUCGAGCUAAUACCGCAUACGCACUACGGUGGAAAGUGGGGGAUCUUCGGACCUCACGCUAUUGGAUGAGCCUAAGUCGGAUUAGCUUGUUGGUAGGGUAAAGGCCUACCAAGGCGACGAUCCGUAGCUGGUCUGAGAGGACGAUCAGCCACACUGGGACUGAGACACGGCCCAGACUCCUACGGGAGGCAGCAGUGGGGAAUAUUGGACAAUGGGGGCAACCCUGAUCCAGCAAUGCCGCGUGUGUGAAGAAGGCCUGCGGGUUGUAAAGCACUUUCAGUAGAGAAGAAAAGCUUACGGUUAAUACCUGUGAGUCUUGACGUAACCUACAGAAGAAGCACCGGCUAACUCCGUG